Molecule: ribosomal RNA, 191 nt
Filed under: Ginkgo biloba (maidenhair tree)
Lineage: Eukaryota; Viridiplantae; Streptophyta; Ginkgoopsida; Ginkgoales; Ginkgoaceae
Description: partial 28S ribosomal RNA
Rfam family: Eukaryotic large subunit ribosomal RNA (bases 30-191)
Source: RNAcentral
ACACAGGGCAGUCAUUCGGAUGUUGUGCGCGAGCCUGGGUCAGGCGAGAACACCCAUUGAGUUUAUGCAUAUCACUAAGCAGAGGAAAAGAAACUUACAACGAUUCCCCUAGUAAUGGCGAGCGAACCAAGAAGAGCCCAACAUGAAAAUCGAGUGACCGCGUUGCCCAAAUUGUAUCAGGAAAAACGUCA